AACAAAACAGCACAGCAGGAGGAGUAAGAUGAGCAUGUAAGGUGUGAGAGGAGCUGCUACUGUACAAACAUGCUUUCUACUUUCUUGUAAAACGGGAGAAACGUACCGAAUGUAGCGGAGAAAAAGUAAAACGAAGUACUGAUACUCGAUAUCGAUAUUUGGAUUGAUCCGUCCACCCCAAGUAUUAAGGAGGAAACCGGAGCACCCGGAGGAAACCCACGCGGACACGGGAAAGACAUGCAAACUCCACACAGAAAGGACCCGGGCUCUUCACCUGGGGAUCAAACCCAGGACCUUCUUGCCGUGAGGCGACAGUGCCAACCACUUAGCCACCAUGCUGUCCCACUUUAGAUGCAAACGUACAAAUAAUAUACACAAUCAGAUCUUUUUGUCUAAUUGAGAUGGGUCUUUGUUUUUGUAUUUUAUAAUUUAUUGUUGGAGCACUCUGUUCCAUGUUGAGUAUAUAAAUAAAGCAAUUUAAAUAAUAAA
Molecule: long non-coding RNA, 489 nt
Organism: Trichomycterus rosablanca
Lineage: Eukaryota; Metazoa; Chordata; Actinopteri; Siluriformes; Trichomycteridae
Exons: 2
Source: RefSeq, a predicted model, not a curated record